GACGAACGCUGGCGGCGUGCCUAAUACAUGCAAGUAGAACGCACAGUUUAUACCGUAGCUUGCUACACCAUAGACUGUGAGUUGCGAACGGGUGAGUAACGCGUAGGUAACCUGCCUGGUAGCGGGGGAUAACUAUUGGAAACGAUAGCUAAUACCGCAUAAUAUUGAUUAUUGCAUGAUAAUUGAUUGAAAGAUGCUAUUGCAUCACUACCAGAUGGACCUGCGUUGUAUUAGCUAGUAGGUGAGGUAACGGCUCACCUAGGCGACGAUACAUAGCCGACCUGAGAGGGUGAUCGGCCACACUGGGACUGAGACACGGCCCAGACUCCUACGGGAGGCAGCAGUAGGGAAUCUUCGGCAAUGGACGAAAGUCUGACCGAGCAACGCCGCGUGAGUGAAGAAGGUUUUCGGAUCGUAAAGCUCGGUUGUAAGAGAAGAGCGGGUGUGAGAGUGGAAAGUUCACACUGUGACGGUAUCUUACCAGAAAGGGACGGCUAACUACGUG
RNAcentral lists this ribosomal RNA (505 nucleotides) under uncultured bacterium. RNAcentral's name for it is "partial 16S ribosomal RNA". It matches the Rfam family "Bacterial small subunit ribosomal RNA", at positions 28 to 507 of the family's 1533-position model. The record is from RNAcentral.